GAUACUUUCUUUUUCUUAAGCGAUUCAGUGCCCUGAGUCAUAACCAUGUGGAAUAAUGGGCUCCUGGGAACAGAAGCAACAGCUGCGUGGAGGGCCAAAAGCAUGGAUAUUACUCUGAAUUUGAACUUCAAUCUUGGUGUAUAGAAAACUCAGAUAGGAUGGUAUAUAUUUUUGUAUAACAAAUGGGACAAAACGUUGGUGGAAAAUAUAUGUUUAAAUUUUU
RNAcentral lists this long non-coding RNA (223 nucleotides) under Homo sapiens (human). RNAcentral describes it as "HSALNT0132905". The record is from RNAcentral. Lineage: Eukaryota; Metazoa; Chordata; Mammalia; Primates; Hominidae.